GGCAACUGUGAACGUUCCGCUCUUUCCUUUUCCUUUCUCUUCUUCUUCUUCUUCUUCUUCGAAUGAAGGCGAGGAAACGAACAGGUCUUUCAAUUUAUGGCCCACCAUAUCCUUGCUGCUCCUCUUCUUCUCGGUCAAAUCUGUAACAAGUAUCUUCGGUUGACUUGGAGGUUCGCGGCAGGCGGAGGAUCGGCGGCUGGAGCUCCGACUCAGAAGCAUCCUCAAGGUACUCUUCCGACGGCGGAGCUGCACCACCGGGCUUGUCCUUGGGCUUCUCGUAGGGCUCUGCGCCACGCCGCAUUGCGUUGCUAGCAGCUUGAACUUGUGCAACGUCGCCAUUUACAGGUUCCUCUGUCUUCUACCUCUCUGUUUCUCUCUUCGUUUUUUUUGUGUUUAAAGGAGAUAUAAGGGAGACUGAAUUUGAAUAAUUGAUGAACUGAUUUGGGUGUGAGGAGUUUUGCUUCAUAGAGAGAGAAAAGUAUCUAAAUUAGAUUUGAAAAUCUCUCUCUUCCUUUCCUUUAUCGUCUCAAAAGUGCAUUCUUUGAAUGGAACUUGACGAGCUGAGAAAAAGAGAGGAGGGAUUACAUUUUCCGAGAAAAUUCUGAAUUUUCAUAGACUGUAAGAAUACAUAAAGAUUGAAAUGUCUAUACUGACCUCUACUUUUCCAGAAGGAAAAGAAUUUUUGAAGAAAUUUUGUCUCCUAUGAACAAUCUAGCACCAACUUAUGGAAGGAGUAAUCCCACCAUCAGAUAUGUUUCAACUUUCUUGACUGCACAUGUAAUAUACACUUCAUGCCAAAAACUUAGCUUAACAUUGCCUCAUCACACAGCCAAAUACUGACUCUGACAAAAUAGACCAUGGCUACCGUAGCAUCUAUUUGUUUAUACGCCCAUUCUCGAGAAUGUUUUAUGGUUUUCUAGUACUGCAGUAUAUUUAUUACUGGAUUUCUGAUGUUGGUAUUUAUAAUCAUAUGCAUCAUGGUUAAACCGAUCAAAGAUAAGUUGUAGAUUCACCUUCAAUAUGAGGCCUUUAUGAUUUAAAGAAUAGAUUCCAGAUUGGGUUUUUAAGCUUGCCAGAGUUGCAAGUCAUAAGGAAUAAAUUCGCAGGAGAGAGUGGGAAGGAAAAGGGAAAUUGAGGAAUGGUUUUGAUAGCUUUGUUUUAUUCCCCACUAUCACUGUUCCGUGAGGCCAAGGUUACCUCUCUUCGGCCUUCGAUUCAAUAAGUAGUAGGUACCUUUUGUUUGUCAUCUUAUAACACAAUCAACUCAAGGCAUUGAAUGAAAUUCAAGCACUAGAUGUGUGUGUGUGUGUGUGUGUAGAUCAUCCAGAAGAAUGCAUCUUCCCUUGAAGAAUCUCAGUAACUUCCUAAGAUCAUCAAUGUGGUUGAGAAUCUUAUGUCAUGACCCGAGCAUAUGAUUCUGAUUUAAGAAAGUAUGUACUCUUUGAGAGAAAGAGAGGAAGGGUGAGAGAAGAAAAAGAACGAUUUGAGAAAGAUAGAAUAAGCAUAUCAAGAGGAAGAAAUAGAAAACUAGAGUAAAAAGAUAUUGAGAUAGAGAUAGAUAGAAUUUUGAUAGAGAUAAUGAUAAUAUAUUCAAAACGUUUCAUUAACUGAUUGAUUACGUAAAUGAAAAUAAGUGAUUUAUAGAUAAGGAAAAAAUGCACAAACAAGUUAAUAAACAAUUAAUCUUUCAUAGAAUCUCAACCGGUUGUAGAAGAAAUCCUUAAAUUUAUUGAAUGGAGAUGGAAGAGGAAGUGGUUGGUCAACUAAGGUUUGAGAGGACUAAAGACCCCUUGGGUUUGAAUUUCCUGUAGACAUUUCCGUAGUUCUCUUCGUGCACCUCUAUAGAUUUUGUACUUUCUAGUUUAUUUUUCUCUGUCUGUACUCGAAUCUUUACGUCUUAUCUAAAAGUAAACAGAAUAUGAGACUAUUGAAUUUUUUCUAGGAGAAAAAAACUUCACUAACUGAAGAAUUAACAAUUUAAAAUAUUUUUAAAUAGAUUUACAUUUAAAUUAAAUUUUUUAAAAAUAAUUGAUCAUAACGUAAAAGAUAAACAAAAACUAAAUUUUCUAAAAGAUAAACUCCUACUAAUUACAUAAUAUUUAAAAAAUAAAUAUGACUUAAAUCUAAUUAAAGAUUAAGUAUAUUUAAAUUUAAACUAAUAAAUAAAAUAAACUAUAAUUUUUACAUUAAUCUUCAACAGAGAUUAUAGGCAGGUAUAGUUCAGUAAAUAAAAAUACCACCUCAUAUAAACAGCGUCACCAUCAAAAAAAUGUCAAACAUACGAACAUUUGUUUAAGAAUGAAACCCCAUCAGCUAUAUACAUUUUUAAUGAUUCGCUGUUAAAAAGAUACUUUAUACAAAAAACCAUUGAUGGAAGCAAAACUUAUUUGUAUAUUAUGAUUGGUAAAAAAAUGAAUCCUCACCAUCUAUCGAUAAAAUGGAGGAGACUGGGGAAGAUAAAAGGAGGAAACAAAAAUCUUCAUCCACUGGUAUUCGGUGUAGUAUCUGUACUAAACCACUUCUCAGUCACAGAGUUCGGUGAAGAAGGGAACUUGAUCUUCAUUAGUAAUGCAACUUUAUCACUGUCAGGUGGUGACGGUGGGGCCUCUUUAUUCUUCAUCAACUGAGGUUCAUCCUGUCUUGUCUCUGCAUUCUCCAACUUGCAUUCCCCACUUUGGAUUUUCUUUAAUUCGUCCAGAACCUCUUCCAUGGUAGGUCUAAUUUCCGGAUCCUGCUGCAAACAUUUAAAUGCCAAUACUGCAACUAAAGUUGUCAUUCGUCUAACUUCUUCAUCAGAUUCAUACCCAAGAUUUGGGUCAAUCAACUCUUCAAAUUCACAGUUUUGUAUCUUGUUUACUGCUAAAUUAGAUAAGUUAACCUCAUUCCUAUUCCUAGUUAUGUCAACUGGAGGCAAGGAUGAUAUCAGCUCGACAAGAACAACUCCGAAGCUGUAGACGUCGCUUUUGUCAGUGAGCUGAUAGCAUUGGUGAUAUUGAGGGUCAACAUACCCAGGAGUUCCCUGUGGAGCAGUUGAUAUAUGAGUUACAUCACUUGGGAACAAUCGGGAAAGCCCAAAAUCUGCAACUUUGACAGUAAAGUUAUCAUCAAGGAGAAUGUUGGUAGUUUUCACAUCACGGUGUAUGAUAUCUGAUGCAUGGAGAUAGGUUAAUGCACUUGCAGUUUCUAUGGCAAUGUUCAUACGAGUAGGCCAUGUUAAUGAACUAGGAUUUGCUUGAUCACCAUGGAGAUGAUCAGCAACAGUGCCUUUAGAUAUGAACUCGUAUACAAGCAGGAGUUCCUGGCUGUGACGCGAAGUGCAACCAUAGAGGGAGACAAGAUUUUUAUGGUGCAGACAUGUCAAGAUUUCGACCUCAUUCAUGAACUGCUCACCCUUCUAUAGUUGUGCUCAUAUAGACGCUUGACUGCGACUUCCCUCCCAUCUCGAAGUUUGCCUGGUUAAAAAAUCCAUGCCAAAACUAAGUCAACAAGCUGUAAGGUUAUUCACAAUAACCUCUCCAUUUUGUUUCAUUUUCACUUUUCUCACUUAUUCCUUCAAAUUUUCUAAUGCCAUAUUGAGUUUCCAUCCAACAAAAUAGAUAUUCAAUUUUCUUACCAUGGUAUACGGUUCCAAAGCCUCCAUCUCCAAGUAACUUGUCAUUGGCAAAAUUGUUAGUGGCUUCUUCAAGUUCACUGUAAGAAAAGAUGGGAACUCCAAAAUACACUCUGCCUGCUUCCAGAUCUAAUUUUUUGGAGUGAUAAGAAGUACUCCUUGAGAAUAACUGUGAUGACAGAGAUUUUAUUUUACGGUAUCGCGGAAGCAUGAAGACGGCAAAUAAGACAAUUACAACGAAGAAGACUGCUGCAGUACCUGAAGCAGAAAUGCCUGAAUGAUCAGCUUUAAUUGUUUGACAACCGUAUAUGAGAAGAUAUUAAUGAUUUGAGAUUUCUGUUUAGGUUUGUAAAGAAACACAUGAAAUAGGGAAAAUUAAGACAGAAUUACAUGUUGCUAUCUUCCAUCCGUAGUCAUGCCCUGCAAUUUAUGUCAAAAGAGAACUCGUUCAGUUCAAACAGAAAAGACAGAUACUGAUGCAGAAAAUUUGGCUUGCUGGGAAUUUUAAUUAACAGGAAAGCAAUGCACAAACAAUAUUGAAUACUUUAUUGAGUUAUUACCGGAUAGAGUUACACGGCAAUGCACUAAAUUCAUCAACCAUAAACAACUACUGCAGAUCACUACCAAUGACUCGGUAGAAGAAGGUCUAACAAAUGUUAGAGAAAGUAAGCCUUUGGUUAAGCAAACUUAUGAGGGAUUUUGGAACACAGAACGGGAAGACAUACAAAUGCAUACAGAGCUAUAGAUUUACUCUUUCAUCAUACCCUUCAUAUUAUGUCUCCGGCUUCCUGCACAUUCAUAGUCUCCUUGUCUGUUUAUUUGACAUUGGCCUCCUGAGAAAUGACAUCCAUAACAAUGGGGAGGUAUUUUCACAUCAACAAAGAACGUGGCAUUCAAACAUUUAGACAAAGAUCCACAUUUUCUUAGCUCCUCAUUCACCGGGAGCAAAAUACCUGAACACUGAGAUGAGAAACUCUGUGUACUAUUGUUUUGUACAUCUCCAUAAUAGAUCCUGUGAUCUUUGCAGGUUGCAUAAUUGAAACCUUCCGGGAAUUCUGCAUGCUGAGUGCGAUUGCACACGAAGAGACUUAGAGACUUAUUGACUGCAAAGGAGAACCAAGGAGAACUUGGAAGAGUGAGGUAGUUGUCGAAAAUAUUGCAGUAAUUUUUGGAGUUUAUGUGAUCACGGAGCACAGUAUCAGUCAGAAUAAGGUCAUCAGCCUGAGAUACCCUUUUGACUUCAUACCAUCGUCCUCCCUCCACUAGUUGUAUCGUCUGAACUGACCCACUACAGUUUAACCUAUCGGCCACAAGUGGAGUU
This 4931-nucleotide long non-coding RNA is filed under the name Carica papaya (papaya). RNAcentral's name for it is "long non-coding RNA (CPAP_LNC008049)". The record is from RNAcentral. Lineage: Eukaryota; Viridiplantae; Streptophyta; Magnoliopsida; Brassicales; Caricaceae.